RNAcentral lists this long non-coding RNA (1693 nucleotides) under Marmota monax (woodchuck). Lineage: Eukaryota; Metazoa; Chordata; Mammalia; Rodentia; Sciuridae. The record is from RNAcentral.
GAAACCAUUAGCCAUAUUCUUUAUUCUCUACCUGUUUCUAUAAUUAGAUGUGACAUUCUGUUUUCAGAGCAGUUCAUUGUCAAGUUGGACUCCAAAUGACCAAGAAAAAAGUAAUCUCAAGAUCCUAAGAACUUAGUUCAUGUCAAAGUUCUUUUACAGAAUAGAAUUUAAAAGCAUUAUAAAAAAUAUGCAUUACAGAUUAAUAUUCAAUUCAACUAUAUUCUGGGUUCUGUUUUUUAAUGAAUCUUCUCAGAAAAGGCUUAGAAAAAGCUGCUAACUCCUCAAAAGAGAGCUAUAAUAAUUUGAAGGGAUAGUGCAUAUGAACUUAGGAUUUGAAGUUUGAUUUUUUAAUUAAGGUCAAUCCUACUCAUUAUAAACCCUCAUUUUCUGCAAAGCAUUAUCAUACAUAAAGUUCUAUGUUCAAAAUUAUCCCAAGUAACAAAGAAGAAUAACUGUCUGACCAGGACUUUAACUUAUUAUUGUAGCUUAAUCAUAGAUAAUCAGUAGUAAAAACUUUCCUUUUGAAAGAACAUUUCCCCAUAAGUUAUUUAUGUCUCUUCAACUCAAGGCUUAAUGUUGUACUUGUGUUAAUAGAGCCAUUUGGAAAUUUCAAUUAUUCAAAUUCUUAUUAGCAAAGUACACUAAGGUAGGCAAGAGGCAUUUAUCUAGUGAGUAGGCAGAGAUUCAACAUAAUAAUUCCUUAAGCAAAACUUUCUUCGUGAACAAAUUAGAAAAACCAAUAGACUUUGAUUUGACAUUUAUAGAAAACUAAGGAAAAUCUGAGGAGUACUGGAAAAGUAUAGAGAUGAUGGAGAACCCCAUGCCAUCUGUUGCCAUUCCAUUCCAGCAAGACUACAGAACUAAACCAACUCAUGUUUUCAUCCCUUCAAGAUCAGCUGGGCACACUAUGAUGCUUUUGAUUUUGUCUAGGAACCUGUCACUUCAGGAUAAUUUCUGAAGACAAAGUCUGUUUCCCGUUUGGUAGGUGACCUGUUUAAUGUUUUCCCUGUGUCUGGGAACUCCUUAGUGUAAUUAGCGACCUUUGAACUCCGCAACUAAUCCUGAGCUAUUUUGUAUUCCUUACUCAUCUUUAAGGCUGGACCUUUCUUUUCUUCAGAGUCCUCUGCCACAAUUAAAGAAGAAACAGCUGCAUUUCAAAGGGAUUCCGAUUCCAGAAGCUUAAUCGUGAUUGACAUGUUCUUAUUCUAAGCUAUAAGACACUCUAAGAGUCCUUUCUUGGGUUAAAACUUCAAUCAUUUUCUAAAAAAUUAUCUCACUACGGAUUUUAUUCAUUUUCUUUGAUAACUAUUCUUUGCAUUUUUUAACUCGAAAGAUGCUUUGCAUUUGCAGUGAAUAUGAGCAACUACUUCUAGUGAAAGAUUUGGAUGGUGUCAGUCCUGCUCUAUAUAGAAAAUUUCUAAAUUCCCUUUUAGUGCCAAAAUAUGAUUACGAAAUCUGAUGUCUAUCAUAUGGGUAAUUAUUCUUCCCUAAAUCCCAAAGGCAAAAGGAAAAAUAGCUAAAUUUCUGAAAAUGAACUCCAGAAAAGAUGGUUCGUGAUUUUGGUAAAAACUUUUCUUACUAAACAAUAUUUUAAAACUUUUUAAAGUCAGCAAUAUUGAAGUUAGGCAAUAUCCUGGUGGUAUUUUAUACUUUUAAAAUAAUCAACUCAAGUUUGAAGUAAAUAGGCUCAUCA